RNAcentral lists this ribosomal RNA (514 nucleotides) under uncultured bacterium. RNAcentral describes it as "bacterial SSU rRNA". It matches the Rfam family "Bacterial small subunit ribosomal RNA", at positions 355 to 859 of the family's 1533-position model. The record is from RNAcentral.
UGGGGAAUAUUGGACAAUGGGGGCAACCCUGAUCCAGCCAUGCCGCGUGUGUGAAGAAGGCCUUCGGGUUGUAAAGCACUUUCAGCUGUGAGGAAAGGCGAGUGGUUAAUACCCGCUUGCUGUGACGUUAACAGCAGAAGAAGGACCGGCUAACUCCGUGCCAGCAGCCGCGGUAAUACGGAGGGUCCGAGCGUUAAUCGGAAUUACUGGGCGUAAAGCGCGCGUAGGUGGUUCAGUCAGUCAGAUGUGAAAGCCCCGGGCUCAACCUGGGAACUGCACCUGAUACUGCUGAGCUAGAGUACGGUAGAGGGUAGUGGAAUUUCCGGUGUAGCGGUGAAAUGCGUAGAGAUCGGAAGGAACACCAGUGGCGAAGGCGACUACCUGGACCGAUACUGACACUGAGGUGCGAAAGCGUGGGUAGCAAACAGGAUUAGAUACCCUGGUAGUCCACGCCGUAAACGAUGUCAACUAGCCGUUGGGGGGACUUGAUCCUUUAGUGGCGGAAGCUAACGCG